AAGGAAUAUUGGUCAAUGGACGCAAGUCUGAACCAGCCAUGCCGCGUGGAGGAUGAAGGUCCUCUGGAUUGUAAACUUCUUUUAUCUGGGACGAAACACUUCUUUUCUAAGAGGCCUGACGGUACCAGAUGAAUAAGCACCGGCUAACUCCGUGCCAGCAGCCGCGGUAAUACGGAGGGUGCAAGCGUUAUCCGGAUUCACUGGGUUUAAAGGGUGCGUAGGUGGGUAUGUAAGUCAGUGGUGAAAUCCCCGAGCUUAACUUGGGACCUGCCAUUGAUACUAUAUAUCUUGAAUACCGUAGAGGUAAGCGGAAUAUGUCAUGUAGCGGUGAAAUGCUUAGAUAUGACAUGGAACACCAAUUGCGAAGGCAGCUUACUAUGCGGUGAUUGACACUGAGGCACGAAAGCGUGGGUAGCAAAC
RNAcentral lists this ribosomal RNA (420 nucleotides) under uncultured bacterium. Its description in RNAcentral is "bacterial SSU rRNA". It matches the Rfam family "Bacterial small subunit ribosomal RNA", at positions 356 to 773 of the family's 1533-position model. The record is from RNAcentral.